GGAGCAUGUGGUUUAAUUCGAAGCAACGCGAAGAACCUUACCAGGUCUUGACAUCCCUGACACCCGAGAGAUCGGGCGUUCCCCUUCGGGGGACAGGGUGACAGGUGGUGCAUGGUUGUCGUCAGCUCGUGUCGUGAGAUGUUGGGUUAAGUCCCGCAACGAGCGCAACCCUCGACCUUAGUUGCCAGCAUUCAGUUAGGCACUCUAAGGUGACUGCCGGCUAAAAGUCGGAGGAAGGUGGGGAUGACGUCAAAUCAUCAUGCCCCUUAUGACCUGGGCUACACACGUGCUACAAUGGGCGGUACAAAGGGUCGCGAACCCGCGAGGGGGAGCCAAUCCCAAAAAGCCGCUCUCAGUUCGGAUUGCAGGCUGCAACUCGCCUGCAUGAAGCCGGAAUCGCUAGUAAUCGCGGAUCAGCAUGCCGCGGUGAAUACGUUCCCGGGCCUU
Molecule: ribosomal RNA, 447 nt
Filed under: uncultured Anoxybacillus sp.
Lineage: Bacteria; Bacillati; Bacillota; Bacilli; Caryophanales; Anoxybacillaceae
Description: bacterial SSU rRNA
Rfam family: Bacterial small subunit ribosomal RNA
Source: RNAcentral